RNAcentral lists this ribosomal RNA (916 nucleotides) under uncultured bacterium. Its description in RNAcentral is "bacterial SSU rRNA". It matches the Rfam family "Bacterial small subunit ribosomal RNA", at positions 70 to 978 of the family's 1533-position model. The record is from RNAcentral.
CACAGAGAAGCUUGCUUCUUGGGUGGCGAGUGGCGAACGGGUGAGUAAUAUAUCGGAACGUACCGAGCAGUGGGGGAUAACUAAUCGAAAGAUUAGCUAAUACCGCAUAUUUUCUGAGGAAGAAAGCAGGGGACCAUUUGGCCUUGCGCUGUUUGAGCGGCCGAUAUCUGAUUAGCUAGUUGGUGGGGUAAAGGCCUACCAAGGCGACGAUCAGUAGCGGGUCUGAGAGGAUGAUCCGCCACACUGGGACUGAGACACGGCCCAGACUCCUACGGGAGGCAGCAGUGGGGAAUUUUGGACAAUGGGCGCAAGCCUGAUCCAGCCAUGCCGCGUGUCUGAAGAAGGCCUUCGGGUUGUAAAGGACUUUUGUCAGGGAAGAAAAGGGCGGGGUUAAUACCCCUGUCUGAUGACGGUACCUGAAGAAUAAGCACCGGCUAACUACGUGCCAGCAGCCGCGGUAAUACGUAGGGUGCGAGCGUUAAUCGGAAUUACUGGGCGUAAAGCGGGCGCAGACGGUUACUUAAGCAGGAUGUGAAAUCCCCGGGCUCAACCUGGGAACUGCGUUCUGAACUGGGUGACUAGAGUGUGUCAGAGGGAGGUAGAAUUCCACGUGUAGCAGUGAAAUGCGUAGAGAUGUGGAGGAAUACCGAUGGCGAAGGCAGCCUCCUGGGAUAACACUGACGUUCAUGCCCGAAAGCGUGUGUAGCAAACAGGAUUAGAUACCCUGGUAGUCCACGCCCUAAACGAUGUCGAUUAGCUGUUGGGCAGCAUGACUGCUUAGUAGCGAAGCUAACGCGUGAAAUCGACCGCCUGGGGAGUACGGUCGCAAGAUUAAAACUCAAAGGAAUUGACGGGGACCCGCACAAGCGGUGGAUGAUGUGGAUUAAUUCGAUGCAACGCGAAGAACCUUACCUGG